UCAUCAGAUUCUCCAAGGUCAAAGUGA
Molecule: non-coding RNA, 27 nt
Filed under: Homo sapiens (human)
Lineage: Eukaryota; Metazoa; Chordata; Mammalia; Primates; Hominidae
Source: RNAcentral